This 628-nucleotide ribosomal RNA is filed under the name uncultured bacterium. RNAcentral describes it as "bacterial SSU rRNA". It matches the Rfam family "Bacterial small subunit ribosomal RNA", at positions 163 to 807 of the family's 1533-position model. The record is from RNAcentral.
CUAAUACCGCAUAAGCCCACGACCCGGCAUCGGGUAGAGGGAAAAGGAGCAAUCCGCUUUGAGAUGGCCUCGCGUCCGAUUAGCUAGUUGGUGAGGUAACGGCCCACCAAGGCGACGAUCGGUAGCCGGACUGAGAGGUUGAACGGCCACAUUGGGACUGAGACACGGCCCAGACUCCUACGGGAGGCAGCAGUGGGGAAUAUUGCACAAUGGGGGAAACCCUGAUGCAGCGACGCCGCGUGGAGGAAGAAGGUCUUCGGAUUGUAAACUCCUGUUGUUGAGGAAGAUAAUGACGGUACUCAACAAGGAAGUGACGGCUAACUACGUGCCAGCAGCCGCGGUAAAACGUAGGUCACAAGCGUUGUCCGGAAUUACUGGGUGUAAAGGGAGCGCAGGCGGGAAGACAAGUUGGAAGUGAAAUCCAUGGGCUCAACCCAUGAACUGCUUUCAAAACUGUUUUUCUUGAGUAGUGCAGAGGUAGGCGGAAUUCCCGGUGUAGCGGUGGAAUGCGUAGAUAUCGGGAGGAACACCAGUGGCGAAGGCGGCCUACUGGGCACCAACUGACGCUGAGGCUCGAAAGUGUGGGUAGCAAACAGGAUUAGAUACCCUGGUAGUCCACACCGUAAAC